RNAcentral lists this ribosomal RNA (429 nucleotides) under bacterium. RNAcentral's name for it is "partial 16S ribosomal RNA". It matches the Rfam family "Bacterial small subunit ribosomal RNA", at positions 355 to 776 of the family's 1533-position model. The record is from RNAcentral.
UAGGGAAUCUUCGGCAAUGGGGGCAAUCCUGACCGAGCAACGCCGCGUGAGUGAAGAAGGUCUUCGGAUCGUAAAGCUCUGUUGUAAGAGAAGAACGUGUGUGAUAGUGGAAAGUUCACACAGUGACGGUAACUUACCAGAAAGGGACGGCUAACUACGUGCCAGCAGCCGCGGUAAUACGUAGGUCCCGAGCGUUGUCCGGAUUUAUUGGGCGUAAAUCGAGCGACGGCGGUUUAAUAAGUCUGAAGUUAAAGGCAGUGGCUUAACCAUUGUUCGCUUUGGAAACUGUUAAACUUGAGUGCAGAAGGGGAGAGUGGAAUUCCAUGUGUAGCGGUGAAAUGCGUAGAUAUAUGGAGGAACACCGGUGGCGAAAGCGGCUCUCUGGUCUGUAACUGACGCUGAGGCUCGAAAGCGUGGGGAGCAAACAGG